RNAcentral lists this transfer RNA (75 nucleotides) under Staphylococcus aureus. RNAcentral describes it as "tRNA-Thr(tgt)". It matches the Rfam family "tRNA". Rfam says of the family: Transfer RNA (tRNA) molecules are approximately 80 nucleotides in length. Their secondary structure includes four short double-helical elements and three loops (D, anti-codon, and T loops). Lineage: Bacteria; Bacillati; Bacillota; Bacilli; Caryophanales; Staphylococcaceae. The record is from RNAcentral.
GCCGGCCUAGCUCAAUUGGUAGAGCAACUGACUUGUAAUCAGUAGGUUGGGGGUUCAAGUCCUCUGGCCGGCACC